Molecule: transfer RNA, 66 nt
Filed under: Rhaphidophora quadrispina
Lineage: Eukaryota; Metazoa; Arthropoda; Insecta; Orthoptera; Rhaphidophoridae
Description: tRNA-Phe
Rfam family: tRNA
About the family: Transfer RNA (tRNA) molecules are approximately 80 nucleotides in length.
Source: RNAcentral
AUUCAAGUAGCUUAUAUUUAGAGUGCAACACUGAAGAUGUUGAGGAAAUUAUUUAAUUCUUGAAUA